This 511-nucleotide ribosomal RNA is filed under the name Merhippolyte calmani. RNAcentral's name for it is "partial 16S ribosomal RNA". It matches the Rfam family "Bacterial large subunit ribosomal RNA", at positions 1820 to 2595 of the family's 2925-position model. Lineage: Eukaryota; Metazoa; Arthropoda; Malacostraca; Decapoda; Hippolytidae. The record is from RNAcentral.
UCUGUGCGAGGUUUAAUGCAGAGUUUGGCCUGCCCACUGAUAAUUUUUAAAGGGCCGCGGUAAUUUGACCGUGCGAAGGUAGCAUAGUCAAUAGUCUCUUAAUUGGGGGCUGGAAUGAAGGGUUGGACAAGAAAUAAGCUGUCUCUAAGGCGGUAGUUGAACUUUACUUUUAAGUGAAAAGGCUUAAAUAAAUUAAAGGGACGAUAAGACCCUAUAAAACUUAACAAGCUGUGCUCUUGCUUUUUGAAUUUUAGGUUUAAGUAGAAGCUGGGGCUUUUUUGUUGUGUUGGGGCGAUAGAGAUACAAAGAGUAGCUGUCUUUACAAAUAAAAUAAAUAUAUUUAGGAAAAGAUCCUUUAUUAAGGAUUAAAAGAACAAGUUACUUUAGGGAUAACAGCGUAAUUUUUUCUGAGAGUUCUUAUCGACGAAAGUAGUUGCGACCUCGAUGUUGAAUUAAAACUUCUUUUAAAUGUAGCAGUUUAGGUGAGUGGGUCUGUUCGACCUUUAAAGUU